Long non-coding RNA from Zonotrichia leucophrys gambelii, 405 nucleotides. RefSeq lists it as uncharacterized. The record is from RefSeq and is a predicted model, not a curated record. NCBI's taxonomy places the organism in Eukaryota, Metazoa, Chordata, Aves, Passeriformes, Passerellidae. The transcript is spliced from 3 exons.
CGCCCCGAGCCGCCCCGGCGGGCAGUGCAGAGGCGCGCCCAGCCCGCCGUGCCCCGACGGCGGCCGGAGCGGAGCGGAGCGGGAGUUACCGAGGCAGCAGCAGAGGUACCAGUGCCCCCCAAGAACACUUUGCCCUCACUAUUUGUGCCAGAAUGAAAACACACCAUGGUCUGUCUGGCCCAGCAAACCCUGCCGAGGUGCAGUCCAGCAGAGAUGCACUGAAACCUGAAGAAAAUCCUCACUACCUGGAGACCUGCAUGUGAGCAGCUUGGUGUGUGCUCCGAGUAAAACACAGAUGUUUGAUUUCAUUAUGUCAAAGUCAGACUAAAUACACUCAUCUGAUUACAGCCUAGUAACUUAGAAAGAAGCCUCACACCUCACAGAUGAUUUUUCCAAAGUGCUAAA